GAUGAACGCUGGCGGCGUGCCUAAUACAUGCAAGUCGAGCGAACAGACGAGGAGCUUGCUCCUCUGACGUUAGCGGCGGACGGGUGAGUAACACGUGGAUAACCUACCUAUAAGACUGGGAUAACUUCGGGAAACCGGAGCUAAUACCGGAUAAUAUAUUGAACCACAUGGUUCAAUAGUGAAAGACGGUUUUGCUGUCACUUAUAGAUGGAUCCGCGCCGCAUUAGCUAGUUGGUAAGGUAACGGCUUACCAAGGCGACGAUGCGUAGCCGACCUGAGAGGGUGAUCGGCCACACUGGAACUGAGACACGGUCCAGACUCCUACGGGAGGCAGCAGUAGGGAAUCUUCCGCAAUGGGCGAAAGCCUGACGGAGCAACGCCGCGUGAGUGAUGAAGGUCUUCGGAUCGUAAAACUCUGUUAUUAGAGAAGAACAAAUGUGUAAGUAACUAUGCACGUCUUGACGGUACCUAAUCAGAAAGCCACGGCUAACUACGUG
RNAcentral lists this ribosomal RNA (497 nucleotides) under uncultured bacterium. RNAcentral's name for it is "partial 16S ribosomal RNA". It matches the Rfam family "Bacterial small subunit ribosomal RNA", at positions 28 to 507 of the family's 1533-position model. The record is from RNAcentral.